Molecule: long non-coding RNA, 3489 nt
Filed under: Homo sapiens (human)
Lineage: Eukaryota; Metazoa; Chordata; Mammalia; Primates; Hominidae
Description: HSALNT0351810
Source: RNAcentral
UGAGGGCGGGGAAUUAACGUUUCUCAAAUAUACAAGGAAGCCCAGACUCAGAAUGUAGACUCAGAGCAGGGAGGGGACCUUUUAGCCCAGCCUUUUCACGCCAGGACAGCUCGCCUGCCAGGCAGUUCUCCACCCUCUCUCGCCCCGCCCCGCUCCUAACGGGACAGUCAGCAUCCCCCCUGAUUGGACAGCACUGUUCCAGGGGACAAGUCAACCUGGGCCUCCCUCUACAUCCCCUCCCCUGCUCAUCAGGGCCCACCCCGAGCCACACGGCGGAGCCCUGAAUUGGGCCAAAGAGGUGCCCUAUGGGAGAUGGAAGGGAGUCAAGGAUGUUGCCAUGUAUGUGCCAUCUCUGCCCUAAGCCAAUAUCAUGAAGAAAUCAACAAGAGGUGGAAUAAACUGAGCAAUUCAUCACCAUAUUAAGCUGGAUAUUCCUGUUUAGUAAAUAUCUUUCCCUAGCUGGUAUCCUUGCAUCCUGUGAGGGGGAGGAGGUGCAGGCACUAAGCAGAUUCCUGGAAAUCAAUGGCCAGAGGCGAUGUUUUCAGAGAGGCCUUCAUCCUUCUCCUAACAUUGCUUUGGUCUCCAGGCCCAUGCACUGCUAAGAUCCCAAGAUUCAGACUGGGGGAUGGGAGUUGAGGAGAUGCCACCUUUAGGCUGAGCUGGGAGCUUCUGUCCACCUUUAUCAGACUUGAUCAGACUGUGCACCCUGGGGUAUCACCCUCUGCUUCAAUUAACACAAUGACUUCCCACCUUCGCAUCCUCCUCCUUCAAGGGGGACUUGGCUCGGUCAAUUAUUUCCUUCACCUUUUGCAUGUUCAGUGUUUUCCUUUCUUCCCGAGGCUUCCCCUCUGUGGACCAACAUGUUCCUCCAUGGCAAAAACAAAAACAACCAGCCCAAACCAGUUCUUUCUGCCCUCCUGCCCUCUGCAGGUCAGCGCUGCCUCCUCCCUCCCUUUCAUGGCAUUGAAUGGUGAGAGUGCAAUACCCUCAGUGGCGCCUAACAGUCAGCAGUGAGCGCUCAGGACCGUCACCCACCUCUGCGGCCGAUGACCCUCUCUUUGGCUCUGGCCCCAGCCGGCCUUGCGCUGUUCCUUCUCACGGUUUUUCCUGGCUCAUCUUCGUGCCCCCUCCCCUGAGGGUCCUGGAGGUCUGAGCCCUCUGGCCGCCUCUCCUCUCUCCUUGCACUCCUCCUCUCAUGGAGCGACCCCGUCUGUGCCACCUUCUCACCUUCCAUGUCACACACCUUCAGCCUUCACUGAGGAGAGAGCAGGGCUGCAGCAUCGUGUUCCAGUCUCAUCCCUCACGGAGCCGAGAACUAAAAAUUGAAACAGAGAAACCUCCUGACAAGGCCGCUGGCAAGUUCAAUGGGAACAACUCAGGUUUUCAGAAAGAAGUAUGAUCCCUGGAGCCAGCGGGUUCAAAAGAACGAAGAGAUUUAUCAAGAAUGAGACAUACCAGACCAGCUGCGUUGCUUUCCAUUGACAGGAAGCAAAUCAGCUGCUCAGGAAAAGGUCAAGCAUGGCACCUGGUCUCAGAGAGGUGUCCGUCAAAGGCUGUCAUAACAGCCCUAUGGACAAGAAGGAGACCUGGGCCAGGUGAGAAUGAUGCAAAACCAUUUGUCCCAAGGAGUUGUGGAUGGGACUUAGGGAAAGGAGGGGCUCCAGAGGCACUGUGACAGUGUCAGAGUGACUACAGGCUCCUCAGGAGAUGUUGAGGGAAAAGAAAGGGCUGGGACGUGCCCUAAGACUUCUGUGCGCAGGCACUGGUCCCCUCUGCUGAUUCAGGGCUCCCCUAAAACAGCCACCCUCAUCACGAGUAUGGUACCAGGCAGUGGCAAAACCUGUUCAACAUCAGCAGGGCCGGGCGCAGUGGCUCAUGCCUGUAAUCCCAGCACUUUGGGAGGGCAAUGCAGGAGGAUCACUUGAGGCCAGGAGUUCGAAACCCCUUCUCUACAAAAAAUACAAAAAUCAGCCAGGCUUGAUGGUGCAUGCCUGUAGUCCCAGCUCCUUGGGAGGCUGAGGUGGGAGUAUUGUUUGAGCCUGAGAGGUUGAGGCUGCAGUAAGCUAUGAUUGCACCACUGCACCAAAGCAAGACCCCAUUUCAAAAAACAACAAACAAACCAAAAACACACCAGCAGGUUCUGACUGCAGCCUCAGAAAGCCCCCGGCUUUCCUGUUCAGCAAGCAGGCGCCCUGCAGAGUGAAGGAUGCUUUCCCAGAGCCACCCUCAAGUGCUGCUGGAGGCCCAGAUUCCUUCAAAUGACCUGGGCAGCCCUGCCGGAAUGCAGUGUGACAACAGAAACAAGUUGGCUGCUUGGGGAAACCAUGCGGGCAUCCCCAGGGUCUGAUUUGGUAACCGCAGAUAUUCUUUGAUAAAUUGUAGAACCAUUAGGCACUGGUCUGGGCAGUAUGUGUAUGGAUGGGGAAUCUGUUUAUGAGAAUAUAAAAUAAAACGUGCAAACACAGGAGAAGUAGAAGAUACAGGUGGCAGGGGUAGAGUGAGAACUGAAGUCAGGACUGGGGAGCUGGAGGAGGAAAUCAGGCCUGAAGAAACUUUGUGGCUGAAGCCAGCAAAUCUUGUAUAUAUAGGAUCUCCAUGAACUGUCCUAAAAUUUCCAAGAGAAGGAGACAUCCGUCAAGUAGAAGACAAAAAGGGAUGCUGACCAGGGAGGCCGGAUGCUGGAUGUGGUCUAGGAGGAAGCCUUGGAAUUUUCUCACUCUGGAUUGUGGAACCACAAAGUCAGCCUGGAGCUGCCUACAUCUGGACACCUAGGCUCCUGUCAGAGCCAGUUUAUUAUUUCCAGUCACUCAUUACUGGGAUUCUCCUCUCCCUGGGGCGUUAUGAAGGUAAGGAGAGGGUUCUUGGGCAGUCAGUUUCAGCAUUAACCGUUUUAUUCCCACAUUUGGCAAUAGGGCUUGCCGUCCAUUAUUUAUGGCCUCUGUCUUAAUCUGUUCUGUGUUGCUAUAACACGAUACCACAGACUGGGAAAUUUAUGAAGAAAAUCAAUUUAUUUCUCACAGUUCUGGAGUCUGGAAGUUCAAUAUCAAAGUGCCAGCAUCUGACAAGGGCCUUCUUGCUGAGACAUCCCAUGGCAGAAGCCAAAAGAGCAAGAGAGAGCGAGGGCAAGUGAGCAAAAGGAGGCCAAACUCACUUUUAAAACAGCCCACUCUAGAGAUAACUAACCCACUCCCUCAAAAAUGACAUUAAUCCAUCAGGAGAGCAGAACGCUUAUGACCUAAUCACCUUAUUAGGCCCCACCUCCUAACACUGUUGCAUUGGGGAUUAAGUUUCCAACACAUGAGUUUUGGAGAACACAUUCUCAAACCAUAGCAGCUUCCUUCCAAAACCUGUCUCAACUGCCCAAAGCCUUUUCCAGACUCUUCUUCUACUUGCAAACCCUCUAUUCAAACCAAAGAAACAAUUAAUAUAACCUUAAAUUUACAAAACCAUGUGGUUUGUUAAACAAUCACAUACAACCUUUUUUUUUUU